RNAcentral lists this unclassified non-coding RNA (164 nucleotides) under uncultured Hypoxylon. RNAcentral's name for it is "sequence contains ITS1". The record is from RNAcentral. Lineage: Eukaryota; Fungi; Ascomycota; Sordariomycetes; Xylariales; Xylariaceae.
GCGAGUUCUCGAUAAAACUCCGUAACCCUGCGCGAACCCUACUACUGUUGCCUCGGCGUCGUCCGCCCCUGCGAGACGCCAGUGGGCCCAUAAACUAAACUCUGCUAUGGCUGCUCACCGCGGCCACUGUGAAUAUCUGAACCGCCUUAACUGAAAUACGUUAA